This 253-nucleotide ribosomal RNA is filed under the name uncultured bacterium. RNAcentral describes it as "partial 16S ribosomal RNA". It matches the Rfam family "Bacterial small subunit ribosomal RNA", at positions 524 to 776 of the family's 1533-position model. The record is from RNAcentral.
UACAGAGGUCUCAAGCGUUGUUCGGAUUCAUUGGGCGUAAAGGGUGCGUAGGCGGCGCGGUAAGUCGGGUGUGAAAUCUCGGAGCUUAACUCCGAAACUGCAUUCGAUACUGCCGUGCUUGAGGACUGGAGAGGAGACUGGAAUUUACGGUGUAGCGGUGAAAUGCGUAGAUAUCAGGAGGAAUACCGAUGGCGAAGGCAGGUCUCUGGGCUGACACUGACGCUCAUGCACGAAAGCGUGGGGAGCAAACAGG